Molecule: ribosomal RNA, 460 nt
Filed under: uncultured bacterium
Lineage: Bacteria
Description: partial 16S ribosomal RNA
Rfam family: Bacterial small subunit ribosomal RNA
Source: RNAcentral
CCUACGGGAGGCAGCAGUGAGGAAUAUUGGUCAAUGGGCGCGAGCCUGAACCAGCCAAGUAGCGUGAAGGAUGAAGGCCCUACGGGUUGUAACCUUCUUUUAUAAAGGAAUAAAGUGAGGCACGUGUGCCUCUUUGCAUGUACUUUAUGAAUAAGGAUCGGGUAACUCCGUGCCAGCAGCCGCGGUAAUACGGAGGAUCCGAGCGUUAUCCGGAUUUAUUGGGUUUAAAGGGAGCGUAGGUUGGUUGUUAAGUCAGUUGUGAAAGUUUGCGGCUCAACCGUAAAAUUGCAAUUGAUACUGGCAGUCUUGAGUACAGUUGAGGUAGGCGGAAUUCGUGGUGUAGCGGUGAAAUGCUUAGAUAUCACGAAGAACUCCGAUUGCGAAGGCAGCUUACUAAACUGCCACUGACAUUGAUGCUCGAAAGUGUGGGUAUCAAACAGGAUUAGAUACCCGAGUAGUC